AACGCACAUUGCGCCCUUUGGUAUUCCGAAGGGCAUGCCUGUUCGAGCGUCAUUAUCACCCCUCAAGCCCCGUGCUUGGUGCUGGGGCCGGUCUGGAGUCAGACCGCCCCGAAAGACAAUGACGGCGGCCUCGUGAACCCCCGGUACACUGAGCUUCUUCGGAGCACGUAUCGGCCUCAAGCGGUCUGCGAGCCCCGGUCAAUACUUUUUCUCUCAAGGUUGACCUCGGAUCAGGUAGGAAUACCCGCUGAACUUAA
Molecule: unclassified non-coding RNA, 257 nt
Filed under: uncultured fungus
Lineage: Eukaryota; Fungi
Description: partial contains 5.8S ribosomal RNA, internal transcribed spacer 2, and large subunit ribosomal RNA
Rfam family: 5.8S ribosomal RNA (bases 1-52)
Source: RNAcentral